AUCGAACGCUGGCGGCAUGCCUAACACAUGCUAGUCGAACGAGACUUUCGGGUCUAGUGGCGUACGGGUGUGUAACGCGUGGGAACCUGCUCUUCGGUUCGGAAUAACUCCCCGAAAGGGGUGCCAAUACCGGAUAACGUCUUCGGACCAAAGAUUUAUCGCCUUUGGUUGGGCCCGCGUUGGAUUAGCUAGUUGGUAGGGUAAAAGCCUACCAAGGCGACGAUCCAUAGCUGGUCUGAGAGGAUGAUCAGCCACAGUGGAACUGAGACACGGCCCAGACUCCUACGGGAGGCAGCAAUGUGGGAUAUUGGACAAUGGUCGAAAGCCUGAUCCAGCAAUGCCGCGUGAGUGAUGAAGGCCUUAGGGUUGUAAAGCUCUUUUACCCGGGAUGAUAAUGACAGUACCGGGAGAAUGAGCUCCGGCUAACUCCGUG
This 433-nucleotide ribosomal RNA is filed under the name uncultured bacterium. Its description in RNAcentral is "partial 16S ribosomal RNA". It matches the Rfam family "Bacterial small subunit ribosomal RNA", at positions 30 to 507 of the family's 1533-position model. The record is from RNAcentral.